AUGCGCGGUGUAUAACCAGAGACAGCAGAGAAAUCAUUCCCAGACCAUCUAUGGUGUAACUCCAGGAAGAUAAGAACCAAUAGCCUACAGCUGAAUCAAGUACAGCAUUGCUAAAGGAGAAGCAGGCAAGACCUUGAACGUUUAUUUAUUUAAAUACUGAGUUUUUACGAUCGACAACAAAUCACAGCCAUUCUCAACGCUUUUGUGUUAUAUGGGUUUUGUAAUCAGCGUGAGUCAUUUGACAUGGAGGGCAACGCAAUGACAAUGGUGUAACUGAUAAGGGAUGUUGUGUGAAAGCGCACUCUGGGGCAUGGAUCACCAUGAAGACUUGGCGAGAGAACUCACUCCUCCUCACGCGUCCCUAUCAGAGCCAACAUCAGACCGGGGUAGUUUCUACCCUCAUCUCUCCAAAUGCGCCAACAUCGAGGUUGAUGGCAGGGAAAAUAUGGAAAACCAUACAGUGAAAGAGGCGGUGAAACAGAGAUCGGGUCAUCAAGAAAAUGGACUGGUCUCAGGAGACCAAUUAGUGAGGAAUAUGGCAUCACCCCAUUCUACAGAGCGAUUUGGACCAACAGGGAGAGGGAAGUCAUCAGGAGCCGGACGGACACUGGUACCCUGUCAGACUUCAUCUCCAAGCCUCUCGCAGAGUCGCACGAAAAACUAUGUAGUGUAAAGCUUGCCUCUUCAUUCUCCAUGGACAUAUUUAACAGUGGCUUAUGGAACAAUGUUAUUUAUUUUGUAUGUCAUUUCACUAUCCUUCAUAACCUGUGCUUUUUCGCUGACACGGUCGCCAGUUGUACGGUGUUUCCUCCGACACAAUGGUGGGGCUGGCUUUCGGUGAGCAGUGUGUCAAGUAGCAGUGGGGCUUGUCAGUGUCGUGUUUCGGAGGACGCAUGACUUUCGACCUUCGCCUCUCUGGAGUCGGUACGGGAGUUGUAGCGAUGCGACAAGGCUGUAACUACCAAUUGGAUUUCACGAAAAUGUGGAGAAAAAGGUGUAAAAAGUACAAACAAAAAUUACAAUAACCUGUGCUUGAUAUCCUGUUCAACCCUUCCUGUGAAUUAAAUAGCCCUAUAGGCCUAUUGCUUAUUGCAUUUGUUUGAUUGAAGAAUGUUCAUUUAUUGACUAAAUGUGCAGUGUUUAUACAUUGUUCUUUCAACUAUUUAUUAUUGAUGGAGACGAAGCCAGCCUUAACAUUCACCAUCACUGGAACACUGUAACAGGAUGGCAUGGAAUGAAUCCUGUACUCUAUUCUGUGUUGAUGUUAUUAACCAAUAGGGAUAGAAUAGGCCUGUAAUUGUUUCUUAUCAUUAUUCCUUUCCAUUCAAUACAGGUCCAUUCCAGAUAGUGAAGAUAGAUAUUUAGGCCUAUGAAAUAUCUAUCUAGGUCUAUGAAAAUACUGUAGAUGUUAGUUACCAUAAAUUACCUCAGAUCCAGGUUUAUAAGGAAGCACUACGAGAGUCAAAUUUAGUUGUACAUUUAUGUUCAGUCAUUUUUCUUAGAAACAGAACACCAUAUUUUGCUAAAA
Molecule: long non-coding RNA, 1528 nt
Organism: Oncorhynchus tshawytscha (Chinook salmon)
Lineage: Eukaryota; Metazoa; Chordata; Actinopteri; Salmoniformes; Salmonidae
Exons: 2
Source: RefSeq, a predicted model, not a curated record